UGGGGAAUUUUGGACAAUGGGCGAAAGCCUGAUCCAGCAAUGCCGCGUGUGUGAAGAAGGCCUUCGGGUUGUAAAGCACUUUUGUCCGGAAAGAAAUCCUUGGCUCUAAUACAGUCGGGGGAUGACGGUACCGGAAGAAUAAGCACCGGCUAACUACGUGCCAGCAGCCGCGGUAAUACGUAGGGUGCAAGCGUUAAUCGGAAUUACUGGGCGUAAAGCGUGCGCAGGCGGUUUGCUAAGACCAAUGUGAAAUCCCCGGGCUCAACCUGGGAACUGCAUUGGUGACUGGCAGGCUAGAGUAUGGCAGAGGGGGGUAGAAUUCCACGUGUAGCAGUGAAAUGCGUAGAGAUGUGGAGGAAUACCGAUGGCGAAGGCAGCCCCCUGGGCCAAAUACUGACGCUCAUGCACGAAAAGCGUGGGGGAGCAAAACAGGAUUAGAUACCCUGGUAGUCCACGCCCUAAAACGAUGUCAACUAGUUGUUGGGGAUUCAUUUCCUUAGUAACGUAGCUAAACGCGUGAAGUUGACCGCCUGGGGAGUACGGUCGCAAAGAUUAAAAACUUAAAUGAAUUGACGGGGUCAUAGCUGUUUCCU
This 593-nucleotide ribosomal RNA is filed under the name uncultured bacterium. Its description in RNAcentral is "partial 16S ribosomal RNA". It matches the Rfam family "Bacterial small subunit ribosomal RNA", at positions 355 to 1375 of the family's 1533-position model. The record is from RNAcentral.